GAGAGCGAGGAGGGGCCAAACAGCUCCUUUCAUAGCAAGUCAGGCAUACCUGGCAAUAGCCAGGUAACUGCUGGGCAGAGUCUAGAAGGAAUGCUAUGUAACAGGAGGGAGCGUGGGAAUUAGAAUACACGGCAGAGCUCACUCUUUUAGGAUAGGUGAGGCAGCCCUCUCCUAGUUAUGGUAAUGGCAUCAUCACUCGUCACUCGAGGUCACCUUCUCGCUUGAGGUUAUUCAUAUAACUUACAUCCUGAGCACAGGAAGAGCUGUAGGAAUGCCUGCUGCUGUCCAUCUCCUCAAACUCCCACCUCAUGGCUACGGGAGGCUGGCUGAAAAGAGCCUUCAUGGGAGCAGUCUUCCCCCGUACACACCCAUAGCUGUAACUUAAAACUCUGUGAUUUGUCUUCUACUUGGUCUCUAGGAAAUACAUCAACUUACAAAGUGUUUUCUGAGAAAUGGAGAACACAGCAGAAAGGUUAGUUUACUGCCGUGCUGGCCUCCAGACCCUCUCCAGCACUCACUUCCCACCCUGUCCUGGCUUGCAGCACUUGUGUCCCCCAAACAAGGCCAUGCAUAGCAGCAGCAUAAAGUGAUCCUGCUCAGGGGACCACACUGACUGUACUGCCAUGAUAGCCACCACCAUCAACAUGCCCAGUGAGGUCUCAGGGCCUGGCUACCUGGUCUGGUCCCUGUUUAGCACAUUCUUCAUGAAGCUCUGCUGCCCGGAUUCUGUGGCCUAUGCCUGAAGGUGAAUAUGGAGGAGGGAGGAAGAUCGAAAGAGCAGGAGUCUAAGAAAGUGAGUUUGAGCCUGAGGAUCCUGGCCGGAAUAGCACCUCGUGUGUGGGGGUGGGGGUGGGGGUGGGGGGUGUUUAUGGCUGAAUGACAGUCUAUUUGCCUUGUCUAUUGUAUGUACCAGGGAGUUGGGGGAUGAUGCCUUGGAGACUCUCCUAGGCAGACACACGGUGAUGUUGCCUGGAUAUCCUUGAGGUCAGAUUGCCGCACCCACCUACCCCAAACCUUACAGCCUAGAGGAAUUCUUACUGUCCAGCUCUUGAAAAGCCUUUUCACCCUGCAGGCUGAGCACAGUCUGAAAAAGUACCCAAGGGACUCCGAGGAAACAGAAACCCAACUGUAAGACACCAAGAUGCAGGGACUCCUGCACAGUCUGAGUGUGUGAAAGGGCCACAGGGUCCCUGGCCUAACUGAGGCUGCAGUAGGCAGUUAACAAUGGGAAACUGAGUUGGAACAUUCUCAGUUCACUGGCUCCUGGACCCUAUCUGUUUUCCUCCAGUCCAGGGACAGGAAAUGACUGGGGUUGAGUGGGAGGUUUCUGGCUCCCUGCUGUGGGCAGUGGUUAACAGCGUGCUGGGUGGGGGGGCCUCUUUUCAAAUAAUUGGCCUUUCCCAGAAAGGUAGAGCCGAGAGACCGACUGAUCAUUCCCUACUCCCAUUCUCCCGAAGCGCCCAACAAAAAUGCAGAUCUGAUACAGAGAGUCUCAGACCUAGGGUGGAUGACUGACUGCUUGACCUCAAAGUGGAAAGAACUCUGCUAUACUGACAGAUUUUGUCCGGAAUUCCGUGGUGGCCCUGGGUGAGGAUCCGGGUUCCCAGAACACUUGGACGAUAAGGUGGGAGUUGGACAUCCUCCCCCUUCCUCUGCCCACCCACCUCCUGCAGCCUUGCUUGGGUUUAUUUUGGUUCUGUGAGUUCGUUCCUGGGCUUAGGUGCAGCUGUAGGUGAAGGCAGAGAGUCAACAGGAAGGAGACACGGGUGUCCCCUGACGGCGGUUGGCAAUGUUUGGACAGGUCCUUUUCUAGAUCAGCGUCUUCACCCCAAAACCCCAAGUUUGCUGGAGUUUUCUGGAGGCUCCAGUGUUGGUACAAGGAUUCCAGUGCUGUACUCUAAGGAUAAAAUGUGUGAGUCCCGGAAGGCCACUAGAGAGUGAAUCAUCAGUUAAAACUCCUCCGUCGGGGUUCAGUCCCCACCUCCGAAAAAAAAAAAAAAAAAAACUCCUCCAUCAGGGUUGUGCUGGGGACAGUUUGAAACUUGGCGGACAGUACACAUAACACCAUUCCAGGAUCCAAUGGGAACCAGCCCACACAAGCUCCAGAUGGCGUCCUUGAGCCAAGACCAAAGCCCUCCUAUGCUCUGCCAUGAUUAUAGCAAGCAGCAGCUGACAUCCCAAAGUCAUCAUUAGUUGAACUUUUCAGAGUCCGAAGACGUCAAUCAUAGCAGGAGGUUAAGUGAGCCAGAGCCAAAGACACAAAUAAAACUGAAACAGUAGCAAGGGCUCUGGAAGCCUGGUCACAUGACCGUUGCCUGGAUGGUCCCACGUUUUUAAAGUCUCAUUUGAUACCACAGAGGGUGUAAUGUCUGGAUUCAGUCUCAGAGGAAGGCCAGGAUUUUUAUUUUAAACUCUGUGGUUUAGAUAUUUUACUCUUUUAUAUGCGGAAGAUGAGUGAAACUAUGUAAACGAUAAAGUGACCAGCCAAAAUGGAAAAGAAAGAAUAGAGGUAAAAUCGGGAGGCUCGAGCUCAUAGAUCUGAGAAGAUGCCCCUGGACUAGAACAAGGUUGGAACCAGCAGAAACUCACCUGACAUAAAGCUCAAGAAAUGACUCUGCUCAAGAUUGCACAGAUCUGGAUCAGAGUGCAAUGGAUGAAUGGAAAGGGAACACAGCCAUCACGCAUCUUACAGAGUGCCUGACCAUCUGACCAAGGGUCAGUGAUUAACAGCGUUACCUCCACUCUCUUUCCCCCCUUUUCGUUUUCUGGUUAGAGAUGAGAUGGAAGACAGACUUCUUAAUUUCGACGAUUUUAUCUUUAUGGGUGUUUUGCUUGUUUGUAUGUUUGUGGACCUCUUGUGUGUCUGUUGCCUGGGGAAGCCAUAAGAGGGUGCUGGGUCUACUGGAACUGGAGUUAUACAGGUGGUUAUGAGCUGCCCAGUGACUGCAGGGAAUAGAAUUUUGGUCUUCUGAAAGAGCAGCCAGUGCUCCUCACUGCUGACUCGUCUCUCUAACCCUGGAAAACGGACCCCAAUCCCCUGUCAUCUUGGUUUGUUGGCUCUCUGAACAAGCUGUUUUAAAAUUUGACUUUGAACUGGUCAGUGGUGAUGAACACCUUUAAGCAUAGCACUCAGGAGGCACAGGAAGGCAGAUCUCUGAAUUGGAGUCCAGCCUGGUCUACAGAGUGAGUCCCAGGACAGUCAGGGUUACACAGAGAUUUUAUAUAUAUCGUUGUCAUCAAUCGAGCCCCCACAGAAUUUUUCUAGUGACAAUUAUAUAUGUGCUAAAGCAGACUUGCCCACAGAACAGAUCAUCUGGACAGGUAACUGAUCCCCAUACAAAAAGAGAAGAAACCAAAAAUCUGGGGGAUAGGUAUCCACUCCAGGUAUCCAGUGACUGCCUCAAGUAAGAGCAUCUUCCCUCACGCAUUAAAGCAGAGAAACAGGUGAUCAGGGUGUCCCUUAAUCAUCCCCAGGAACUCGGAGUAAUGGCUGACUGAAUUCCUGAAACUACAUUCUCCCCAAAUGACUUCUUCAUCCUCACAGAAAACAGCUUUAGAGAGACCUCUGGGACUUGGGAGAUGUCUCAAAGGACAAAGUUCUUGCUGCUCAAGUCUGAGGAGUGUCGUUUGGCUUCUUGGCACUCAUGAAAGUGCUGGGCAGGUAAAACAAAUUCCCCGUUACCCCAGGAACCCAGAGGCAGAUAUGGGGGAUACUGGACCAAGAUGGCUUAGCUAGAUUAAUGAAAUCGGUGAGCUCUGAGUUCAAAUGAGAGACCCUGAUUAAACAUAUAUGGUGGAGAACAAUAGAGGAAAACACUCCAUGGCAACCUCUGAUCGCCACAUGCAUAUACAUAGAUGUGGAUGUACACAAGAACAUGCAUGCCCACACAAUGCAUACAUGUAAUCUGCAUGCAUGGUGCAAGUUUGCAAAAGAGGAGUCUACAGGCAUUAAAAUUUCUGGAACUCAGAUGUUGGAUAGUAAAAGGCAAAUGGGAUAAGGGGAUAUCUUUUUCAUCUGGGACUGGAGCCACCUAGAAGCAGACCAAAUGUCAAAUGAAGCGAAGAUGGUCUCAUUAAUGUCUCUUCGGCCAUGUAGAACAAGAAAUAUUUGCGCUUACCUAGGAAGCGCAAGGCCCUGGGUUCGGUCCCCAGCUCCGAAAAAAAAAAAAAAAAAAAAAAAAAAAGAGCAGCCAUUGCUGAGCGUCCUCAGACGCCUUUUCUGUUGACUGGAAACUCAUCUUGGGCUGGAAAGGUGGCUCAGCGGUUGAGAGCACUGACUGCUCUUCCAGAGGACCUGAGUUCAAAUCCCAGCAACCACAUGGUGGCUCACAACCAUCUGUAAUGGGAUCUGAUGCCUCCUUCUGGUGUGUCUGAAGGCAGCG
Rattus norvegicus (Norway rat) is the source of this 4382-nucleotide non-coding RNA. Lineage: Eukaryota; Metazoa; Chordata; Mammalia; Rodentia; Muridae. The record is from RefSeq and is a predicted model, not a curated record.